Molecule: ribosomal RNA, 253 nt
Filed under: uncultured bacterium
Lineage: Bacteria
Description: partial 16S ribosomal RNA
Rfam family: Bacterial small subunit ribosomal RNA
Source: RNAcentral
GACAGAGGGUGCAACCGUUGUUCGGAAUUACUGGGCGUAAAGCGCGUGUAGGCUGCUUCGCAAGUCGGAUGUGAAAGCCCUGGGCUCAACCUAGGAAGUGCAUUCGAAACUGCGAAGCUUGAGCCCUGGAGAGGAAGGCGGAAUUCUCGGUGUAGAGGUGAAAUUCGUAGAUAUCGAGAGGAACACCGGUGGCGAAGGCGGCCUUCUGGACAGUGACUGACGCUGAGACGCGAAAGCGUGGGGAGCAAACAGG